AUCAGUAAGCGGAGGAAAAGAAACUAACUAGGAUUCCCUUAGUAGCGGCGAGCGAACAGGGAAAAGCCCAGCACCGAAUCUCGAGCUUGGUAAAGCGGGUUCAGAGAAAUGUGGUGUUCGGGAGGACCGUGCGCGUCCGUCCGGCAUUCGUCCAAGUCUUCAUGAACGAGGCGAACAACCCAUAGAGGGUGUCAGGCCCGUAGACAGGCGAGCCGCGACCGUGUAUCGGGUCCCUUCCCAAGAGUCGGGUUGCUUGAGAGUGCAGCCCUAAGCGGGAGGUAAACUCCUUCUAAGGCUAAAUAUCGCCACGAGACCGAUAGCGAACAAGUACCGCGAGGGAAAGUUGAAAAGAACUUUGAAGAGAGAGUUCAAGAGUGCGUGAAACCGUUCAGGGGGUUAAACGGGUGGGCCCUCGAAGGUCGAACGUGUCCCCGCUCCCGUGUUUUUUGUCGUGCCGGUUCGGACUUGACUUAGCGAUCUCUAUUCGGGACGCGGUUUUGACUGUAACUCGGUCGGCGAGCACUGCAAGUGGGGGACCUAGUAGGACUCCGCAACCGGCUGGGUGUGCCGUCAAAAGUGUUGCUGUCAACUUGGCUUCGAGAGAUAUUUUAUGUCUUUCGUUGCUGAGUCCGGCUUCUACGGACGGUCCUGCCCGGCCGUGACCUGUCAUCGUGGCGGCGGUGCGCUUUUUCGGAAGCACACAAGUCGCUCGACCCAGAGCGGAGAGUAGAAGUCGGGUCCCACCCGACCCGUCUUGAAACACGGACCAAGGAGUCUAACAUGUGCGCGAGUCGUCGAGUCUAAUCGAAACUCGUGAGGCGCAAUGAAAGUAAAGUUUUUGCCCUGAUGAAGGUGCAACAAGGGGAGAUCUCGUCUUUUUUUCAAACCGAAGCGAGCGCAUCCCCAGGGCGUUCGAAGCCGCGACAUUUAGUCGGCCGAACGAACCUAGAGCGUACACGUUGGGACCCGAAAGAUGGUGACCUAUGCCUGGCCAGGACGAAGCCAGGGGAAACCCUGGUGGAGGUCCGCAGCGAUUCUGACGUGCAAAUCGAUCGUCGGAGUUGGGUAUAGGGGCGAAAGACUAAUCGAACCAUCUAGUAGCUGG
Molecule: ribosomal RNA, 1105 nt
Filed under: Leptodora kindtii
Lineage: Eukaryota; Metazoa; Arthropoda; Branchiopoda; Diplostraca; Leptodoridae
Description: eukaryotic LSU rRNA
Rfam family: Eukaryotic large subunit ribosomal RNA
Source: RNAcentral